Molecule: non-coding RNA, 77 nt
Organism: Potamilus streckersoni
Lineage: Eukaryota; Metazoa; Mollusca; Bivalvia; Unionida; Unionidae
Source: the annotation of a GenBank genome assembly
GGCUCCAGUGGUCUAGUGGUUAGAGCGUCCGCCUCACAUGCGGAAGGUCGUGGUGGGUUCGAACUCCGGUCGAGUCA